GACCUUGUAGUGAAGUUCAUGGUGGGUUGCAAGCUCAUCGAUGUGCACGGAUGUGCGCCGGGGUCU
RNAcentral lists this transfer RNA (66 nucleotides) under Pomatorhinus ruficollis (streak-breasted scimitar babbler). RNAcentral's name for it is "tRNA-Cys". The record is from RNAcentral. Lineage: Eukaryota; Metazoa; Chordata; Aves; Passeriformes; Timaliidae.